CGCAAAUCCAGGCCAUCUUGGUUCGGACUCAGGAGGAAUGAUAUCCGUCAUACGAACCCCGGAUCACGGACGAGGGUUUCGUGAUGUCGUCAGGACGGAAGCUUCCCUAUUGGCGAGAUCGCGCCCCCUCCUCCGUGACCCGGACGUCGUAUGACGAGUCAUUCCUCCGGAACCCAAACCAAGAUGGCCUGGAUUUGCG
Molecule: microRNA precursor, 199 nt
Filed under: Ectocarpus siliculosus
Lineage: Eukaryota; Phaeophyceae; Ectocarpales; Ectocarpaceae
Description: miR8625 stem-loop (esi-MIR8625)
Source: miRBase by way of RNAcentral